GUGACGAAGCGACGCCGCGUGUGGGAGGAAGGCCUUCGGGUUGUAAACCACUGUCGGGAGUUAGGAAGUGUAAGGGUGUUAAUAGCGCCCUUACUUGACUAAGGCUCCGGAGGAAGCCACGGCUAACUCUGUGCCAGCAGCCGCGGUAUACAGAGGCGGCAAGCGUUGUUCGGAAUUAUUGGGCGUAAAGAGCACGUAGGCGGUUCUGCAAGUCGGCUGUGAAGGCCUUCCGCUCAACGGAAGAACGGCAGUUGAUACUACAGGACUAGAGUGCGGGAGGGGAGAGUGGAACUUCUGGUGGAGCGGUGAAAUGCGUAGAUAUCAGAAGGAACGCCGGCGGCGAGAGCGACUCUCUGGCCCGUAACUGACGCUGAGUGUGCGAAAGCUAGGGGAGCAAACGGGAUUAGAUACCCCGGUAGUCCUAGCCGUAAACGAU
This 436-nucleotide ribosomal RNA is filed under the name uncultured Planctomycetota bacterium. RNAcentral describes it as "bacterial SSU rRNA". It matches the Rfam family "Bacterial small subunit ribosomal RNA", at positions 383 to 810 of the family's 1533-position model. The record is from RNAcentral. Lineage: Bacteria; Pseudomonadati; Planctomycetota.